UAGGGAAUCUUCGGCAAUGGACGGAAGUCUGACCGAGCAACGCCGCGUGAGUGAAGAAGGUUUUCGGAUCGUAAAGCUCUGUUGUUAGAGAAGAACGUUGGUAGGAGUGGAAAAUCUACCAAGUGACGGUAACUAACCAGAAAGGGACGGCUAACUACGUGCCAGCAGCCGCGGUAAUACGUAGGUCCCGAGCGUUGUCCGGAUUUAUUGGGCGUAAAGCGAGCGCAGGCGGUUCUUUAAGUCUGAAGUUAAAGGCAGUGGCUUAACCAUUGUACUCGUUGGAAACUGGAGGACUUGAGUGCAGAAGGGGAGAGUGGAAUUCCAUGUGUAGCGGUCAAAUGCGUAGAUAUAUGGAGGAACACCGGUGGCGAAAGCGGCUCUCUGGUCUGUAACUGACGCUGAGGCUCGAAAGCGUGGGGAGCAAACAGG
RNAcentral lists this ribosomal RNA (429 nucleotides) under Bacillota bacterium. Its description in RNAcentral is "Firmicutes bacterium partial 16S ribosomal RNA". It matches the Rfam family "Bacterial small subunit ribosomal RNA", at positions 355 to 776 of the family's 1533-position model. Lineage: Bacteria; Bacillati; Bacillota. The record is from RNAcentral.